Molecule: ribosomal RNA, 253 nt
Filed under: uncultured bacterium
Lineage: Bacteria
Description: partial 16S ribosomal RNA
Rfam family: Bacterial small subunit ribosomal RNA
Source: RNAcentral
UACGGAGGGUGCAAGCGGUAUCCGGAAUCACUGGGUUUAAAGGGUGCGUAGGCGGCUUGAUAAGUCAGGGGUGAAAGCCCGCAGCUUAACUGCGGAACUGCCUUUGAUACUGUCGAGCUUGAAAGGGGUUGAGGUCAGCGGAACGUGACAUGUAGCGGUGAAAUGCAUAGAUAUGUCACAGAACACCGAUUGCGAAGGCAGCUGGCUGGACCUACUUUGACGCUGAGGCACGAAAGCGUGGGGAGCGAUCAGG